CCCUGGUGGAGUCAACUGCUCCGUGGGGAACUAGGCUUCAUAGAUUACGUUGGCGCGCACGGUCUAAGCUUCCCCAAAGGUCGGCCAAGAUCUGCAAUAGCCGUCUGUGAAGUAAGC
Molecule: long non-coding RNA, 117 nt
Organism: Haliotis rubra (blacklip abalone)
Lineage: Eukaryota; Metazoa; Mollusca; Gastropoda; Lepetellida; Haliotidae
Exons: 3
Source: RefSeq, a predicted model, not a curated record